RNAcentral lists this ribosomal RNA (301 nucleotides) under uncultured bacterium. Its description in RNAcentral is "partial 16S ribosomal RNA". It matches the Rfam family "Bacterial small subunit ribosomal RNA", at positions 509 to 807 of the family's 1533-position model. The record is from RNAcentral.
CAGCAGCCGCGGUAAUACGAAGGGGGCUAGCGUUGUUCGGAAUUACUGGGCGUAAAGCGCACGUAGGCGGAUAUUUAAGUCAGGGGUGAAAUCCCAGAGCUCAACUCUGGAACUGCCUUUGAUACUGGGUAUCUUGAGUAUGGAAGAGGUGAGUGGAAUUCCGAGUGUAGAGGUGAAAUUCGUAGAUAUUCGGAGGGACACCAGUGGCGAAGGCGGCUCACUGGUCCAUUACUGACGCUGAGGUGCGAAAGCGUGGGGAGCAAACAGGAUUAGAUACCCGUGUAGUCCCUGUCUCUUAUAC